UACGUAGGGAGCAAGCGUUGUCCGGAAUCAUUGGGCGUAAAGCGCGCGUAGGUGGCCCCAUAAGUCCGCUGUGAAAGUCAAAGGCUCAACCUUUGAAAGCCGGUGGAUACUGUGGGACUAGAGUACGGAAGAGGCGAGUGGAAUUCCUGGUGUAGCGGUGGAAUGCGCAGAUAUCAGGAGGAACACCAAUAGCGAAGGCAGCUCGCUGGGACGUUACUGACACUGAGGCGCGGAAGCGUGGGGAGCGAACAGG
This 253-nucleotide ribosomal RNA is filed under the name uncultured bacterium. Its description in RNAcentral is "partial 16S ribosomal RNA". It matches the Rfam family "Bacterial small subunit ribosomal RNA", at positions 524 to 776 of the family's 1533-position model. The record is from RNAcentral.